GAUGAACGCUGGCGGCGUGCCUAUUACAUGCAAGUCGAGCGAACGGACGAGAAGCUUGCUUCUCUGAUGUUAGCGGCGGACGGGUGAGUAACACGUGGAUAACCUACCUAUAAGACUGGGAUAACUUCGGGAAACCGGAGCUAAUACCGGAUAAUAUUUUGAACCGCGUGGUUCAAAAGUGAAAGACGGUCUUGCUGUCACUUCUAGAUGGAUCCGCGCUGCAUUAGCUAGUUGGUAAGGUAACGGCUUACCAAGGCAACGAUGCAUAGCCGACCUGAGAGGGUGAUCGGCCACACUGGAACUGAGACACGGCCCAGACUCCUACGGGAGGCAGCAGUAGGGAAUCUUCCACAAUGGGCGAAAGCCUGACGGAGCAACGCCGCGUGAGUGAUGAAGGUCUUCGGAUCGUAAAACUCUGUUAUUAGGGAAGAACAUAUGUGUAAGUAACUGUGCACAUCUUGACGGUACCUAAUCAGAAAGCCACGGCUAACUACGUG
Molecule: ribosomal RNA, 497 nt
Filed under: uncultured bacterium
Lineage: Bacteria
Description: partial 16S ribosomal RNA
Rfam family: Bacterial small subunit ribosomal RNA
Source: RNAcentral